GGGACCGACUUGGCUUCGACGUGGGUACGGAGUCGGCGCGGGGCAUGCCGAGCACCAGUUCGCUCGUAAAUCCACUGGAAACAAAGUAACUGCGAACGAUCAAACGUACGCCCUCGCCGCUUAAAA
Molecule: non-coding RNA, 126 nt
Organism: Rubrivivax sp. SCN 70-15
Lineage: Bacteria; Pseudomonadati; Pseudomonadota; Betaproteobacteria; Burkholderiales; Sphaerotilaceae
Source: Rfam